GAUGAACGCUAGCUACAGGCUUAACACAUGCAAGUCGAGGGGUAACGAGAGGAAAGCUUGCUUUCCUUGUCGACGACCGGCGCACGGGUGAGUAACGCGUAUCCAACCUGCCCCCAACUAGGGAAUAACCUUGCGAAAGUAAGACUAAUACCCUAUAAUUUCCUCAGAUGUCAUCUGACGAGGAAUAAAGAUUUAUCGGUUGUGGAUGGGGAUGCGGCUGAUUGGCUUGUUGGCGGGGUAACGGCCCACCAAGGCAACGAUCAGUAGGGGUUCUGAGAGGAAGGUCCCCCACAUUGGAACUGAGACACGGUCCAAACUCCUACGGGAGGCAGCAGUGAGGAAUAUUGGUCAAUGGGCGGAAGCCUGAACCAGCCAAGUAGCGUGCAGGAUGACGGCCCUAUGGGUUGUAAACUGCUUUUAUACAGGAAUAAAGUUAGCCACGUGUGGUUAUUUGUAGGUACUGUAUGAAUAAGGACCGGCUAAUUCCGUGCCAGCAGCCGCCGUAA
This 506-nucleotide ribosomal RNA is filed under the name uncultured bacterium. RNAcentral's name for it is "partial 16S ribosomal RNA". It matches the Rfam family "Bacterial small subunit ribosomal RNA", at positions 28 to 523 of the family's 1533-position model. The record is from RNAcentral.